UAGGGAAUCUUCCGCAAUGGGCGAAAGCCUGACGGAGCAACGCCGCGUGAGUGAUGAAGGUCUUCGUAUCGUAAAACUCUGUUAUUAGGGAAGAACAAAUGUGUAAGUAACUAUGCACGUCUUGACGGUACCUAAUCAGAAAGCCACGGCUAACUACGUGCCAGCAGCCGCGGUAAUACGUAGGUGGCAAGCGUUAUCCGGCAUUAUUGGGCGUAAAGCGCGCGUAGGCGGUUUUUUAAGUUGGAUGUGAAAGCCCACGGAUCAACCGUGGAGGGUCAUUGGAAACUGGAAAACUUGAGUGCAGAAGAGGAAAGUGGAAUUCCAUGUGUAGCGGUGAAAUGCGCAGAGAUAUGGAGGAACACCAGUGGCGAAGGCGACUUUCUGGUCUGUAACUGACGCUGAUGUGCGAAAGCGUGGGGAUCAAACAGG
This 429-nucleotide ribosomal RNA is filed under the name Actinomycetes bacterium. Its description in RNAcentral is "Actinobacteria bacterium partial 16S ribosomal RNA". It matches the Rfam family "Bacterial small subunit ribosomal RNA", at positions 355 to 776 of the family's 1533-position model. Lineage: Bacteria; Bacillati; Actinomycetota; Actinomycetes. The record is from RNAcentral.